AAGCAAUGGGGUAAGGAACAG
RNAcentral lists this microRNA (21 nucleotides) under Gallus gallus (chicken). RNAcentral's name for it is "gga-miR-6705-5p". The record is from miRBase by way of RNAcentral. Lineage: Eukaryota; Metazoa; Chordata; Aves; Galliformes; Phasianidae.